Long non-coding RNA from Sinocyclocheilus anshuiensis, 226 nucleotides. RefSeq lists it as uncharacterized. Lineage: Eukaryota; Metazoa; Chordata; Actinopteri; Cypriniformes; Cyprinidae. The record is from RefSeq and is a predicted model, not a curated record. The transcript is spliced from 3 exons.
GUAGCUCAUCCGGGUCAAAAGGCGUCAGCAUGGACACGGGGGAUGUUCUUGCAUCUCUGGGGGUAGAGGGAGCCACUGCGGCUGCGCAUGCGCUCUCUCUUCCAGCAGAGGCGUAUGGAAAUGAUGCCCAACUGGAAGUAAUGUGGGCUAUGAAAGCCUACAAUCACGCAGAAGUUUACUAUAAUGUAAGUGAAUGAGUGUCACAAUCUGUCCUGUCAGUUGGAUC